Molecule: ribosomal RNA, 171 nt
Filed under: uncultured bacterium
Lineage: Bacteria
Description: partial 16S ribosomal RNA
Rfam family: Bacterial small subunit ribosomal RNA
Source: RNAcentral
GCAAGUAAUCGCGGAUCAGGAUGCCGCGGUGAAUACGUUCCCGGGUCUUGUACACACCGCCCGUCACACCAUGGGAGCCAGGAAUGCCCGAAGUCUGUGGCCGAACCCCUUCUGGGGGCGGGGCAGCCGAAGGCAGGCCGGGUGACUGGGGUGAAGUCGUAACAAGGUACC